This 483-nucleotide ribosomal RNA is filed under the name Agkistrodon contortrix (Copperhead). Its description in RNAcentral is "partial 12S ribosomal RNA". Lineage: Eukaryota; Metazoa; Chordata; Lepidosauria; Squamata; Viperidae. The record is from RNAcentral.
GCCUAGCCGAAACACACAAUUAAAUUACCAAUUGUUCGCCAAACAACUACGAGUUAUACUUAAAACUUAAAAGACUUGACGGUACUUCACCACACCCUAGAGGAGCCUGUCUAAUAACCGAUAAUCCACGAUUAACCCAACCCCCUCUUGCCAACAGUCUAUAUACCGCCGUCGCCAGCUUACCUUGUAAAAGAAAUAUAGUGAGCUAAAUAGUACUUCACUAAAACGACAGGUCGAGGUGUAACUAAUGAAGGGUUAAGAUGGCUACAUUCUCCAACCGAGAACACGAACAAUACUAUGAAAUUAGUACUUAAAGGCGGAUUUAGCAGUAAGAUAAGAAUAAAAAGCUUAACUGAACAUAACGCAAUGAAGUGCGUACACACCGCCCGUCAUCCCUGCCACCACAAUGUAAACUUAAUAAACCUACGAAAAAAAUCAAACAGGGCAAGUCGUAACAUGGUAAGUGUACUGGAAAGUGCACUU